UACGAAGGGGGCUAGCGUUGCUCGGAAUUACUGGGCGUAAAGGGCGCGUAGGCGGCCGAUCAAGUCAGGCGUGAAAUUCCCGGGCUCAACCUGGGGGCUGCGCUUGAGACUGGUUGGCUAGAGGCCGAGAGAGGGUGGUGGAAUUCCCAGUGUAGAGGUGAAAUUCGUAGAUAUUCGGAAGAACACCAGUGGCGAAGGCGACUUACUGGACACAUAUUGACGCUGAGGUGCGAAAGCGUGGGGAGCAAACAGG
This 253-nucleotide ribosomal RNA is filed under the name uncultured bacterium. Its description in RNAcentral is "partial 16S ribosomal RNA". It matches the Rfam family "Bacterial small subunit ribosomal RNA", at positions 524 to 776 of the family's 1533-position model. The record is from RNAcentral.